GACGAACGCUGGCGGCGUGCUUAACACAUGCAAGUCGAACGGAAAGGCCCCUUUGGGGGUCCUCGAGUGGCGAACGGGUGAGUAACACGUGAGUAACCUGCCCUUGACUUCGGGAUAACUUCAGGAAACUGGGGCUAAUACCGGAUAGGAAUCCUUGCUGCAUGGUUGGGGUUGGAAAGCUUCGGCGGUUUUGGAUGGACUCGCGGCUUAUCAGCUUGUUGGUGGGGUAGUGGCUUACCAAGGCUUUGACGGGUAGCCGGCCUGAGAGGGCGACCGGCCACAUUGGGACUGAGAUACGGCCCAGACUCCGACGGGAGGAAGCAGUGGGGAAUAUUGCACAAGGGGCGGAAGCCGGAUGCAGCAACGCCGCGGGCGGGAGGACGGCCUUCGGGUUGUAAAACGAUUUCAGCAGGGGCGAAGCUUGUGGUGACGGUACCUGCAGAAGAAGCACCGGCUAACUACGUG
Molecule: ribosomal RNA, 465 nt
Filed under: uncultured bacterium
Lineage: Bacteria
Description: partial 16S ribosomal RNA
Rfam family: Bacterial small subunit ribosomal RNA
Source: RNAcentral